UAGGGAAUCUUCCACAAUGGACGCAAGUCCGAUGGAGCAACGCCGCGUGAGUGAAGAAGGUUUUCGGACCGUAAAGCUCUGUUGUUGGUGAAGAAGGAUAGAGGUAGUAACUGGCCUUUAUUUGACGGUAAUCAACCAGAAAGUCACGGCUAACUACGUGCCAGCAGCCGCGGUAAUACGUAGGUGGCAAGCGUUGUCCGGAUUUAUUGGGCGUAAAGCGAGCGCAGGCGGAAGAAUAAGUCUGAUGUGAAAGCCCUUGGCUUAACCGAGGAAUUGCAUCGGAAACU
This 287-nucleotide ribosomal RNA is filed under the name uncultured bacterium. RNAcentral describes it as "partial 16S ribosomal RNA". It matches the Rfam family "Bacterial small subunit ribosomal RNA", at positions 355 to 634 of the family's 1533-position model. The record is from RNAcentral.